This 893-nucleotide ribosomal RNA is filed under the name Neoascochyta exitialis. RNAcentral describes it as "LSU rRNA". It matches the Rfam family "Eukaryotic large subunit ribosomal RNA", at positions 34 to 945 of the family's 3401-position model. Lineage: Eukaryota; Fungi; Ascomycota; Dothideomycetes; Pleosporales; Didymellaceae. The record is from RNAcentral.
UUAAGCAUAUCAAUAAGCGGAGGAAAAGAAACCAACAGGGAUUGCCCUAGUAACGGCGAGUGAAGCGGCAACAGCUCAAAUUUGAAAUCUGGCGUCUUUGGCGUCCGAGUUGUAAUUUGCAGAGGGCGCUUUGGCGUUGGCAGCAGUCUAAGUUCCUUGGAACAGGACGUCACAGAGGGUGAGAAUCCCGUACGUGGUUGCUGGCCUUCGCCGUGUAAAGCCCCUUCGACGAGUCGAGUUGUUUGGGAAUGCAGCUCUAAAUGGGAGGUAAAUUUCUUCUAAAGCUAAAUACUGGCCAGAGACCGAUAGCGCACAAGUAGAGUGAUCGAAAGAUGAAAAGCACUUUGGAAAGAGAGUCAAACAGCACGUGAAAUUGUUAAAAGGGAAGCGCUUGCAGCCAGACUUGCCUGUAGUUGCUCAUCCGGACUUUUGUCCGGUGCACUCUUCUAUAGGCAGGCCAGCAUCAGUUUGGGCGGUUGGAUAAAGGUCUCUGUCAUGUACCUCUCUUCGGGGAGAACUUAUAGGGGAGACGACAUGCAACCAGCCUGGACUGAGGUCCGCGCAUUUGCUAGGAUGCUGGCGUAAUGGCUGUAAGCGGCCCGUCUUGAAACACGGACCAAGGAGUCUAACAUCUAUGCGAGUGUUUGGGUGUCAAGCCCGAACGCGUAAUGAAAGUGAACGGAGGUGGGAACCCCUCGGGGUGCACCAUCGACCGAUCCUGAUGUCUUCGGAUGGAUUUGAGUAAGAGCAUAGCUGUUGGGACCCGAAAGAUGGUGAACUAUGCUUGAAUAGGGUGAAGCCAGAGGAAACUCUGGUGGAGGCUCGCAGCGGUUCUGACGUGCAAAUCGAUCGUCUAAAUUGGGCAUAGGGGCGAAAGACUAAUCGAACUAUCU